ACUAAUGUUGAAAAAUUAGCGGAUGACCUGUGGCUGGGGGUGAAAGGCCAAUCAAACCGGGAGAUAGCUGGUUCUCCCCGAAAGCUAUUUAGGUAGCGCCUCGUGAAUUCAUCUCCGGGGGUAGAGCACUGUUUCGGCUAGGGGGCCAUCCCGGCUUACCAACCCGAUGCAAACUGCGAAUACCGGAGAAUGUUAUCACGGGAGACACACGGCGGGUGCUAACGUCCGUCGUGAAGAGGGAAACAACCCAGACCGCCAGCUAAGGUCCCAAAGUCAUGGUUAAGUGGGAAACGAUGUGGGAAGGCCCAGACAGCCAGGAUGUUGGCUUAGAAGCAGCCAUCAUUUAAAGAAAGCGUAAUAGCUCACUGGUCGAGUCGGCCUGCGCGGAAGAUGUAACGGGGCUAAACCAUGCACCGAAGCUGCGGCAGCGAACGUAUCACUUAAAGCGAUUCAGCGGGUUACGAUUGACGGAGCGAAGCGACGUCAAAGCGUAUACAAAGUCGAGUCGGUUUAAGGAUACGUUCGUUGGGUAGGGGAGCGUUCUGUAAGCCUGUGAAGGUGGCCUGUGAGGGUUGCUGGAGGUAUCAGAAGUGCGAAUGCUGACAUAAGUAACGAUAAAGCGGGUGAAAAGCCCGCUCGCCGGAAGACCAAGGGUUCCUGUCCAACGUUAAUCGGGGCAGGGUGAGUCGACCCCUAAGGCGAGGCCGAAAGGCGUAGUCGAUGGGAAACGGGUUAAUAUUCCCGUACUUGGUGUUACUGCGAAGGGGGGACGGAGAAGGCUAUGUUGGCCGGGCGACGGUUGUCCCGGUUUAAGCGUGUAGGCUGGUUUUCCAGGCAAAUCCGGAAAAUCAAGGCUGAGGCGUGAUGACGAGGCACUACGGUGCUGAAGCAACAAAUGCCCUGCUUCCAGGAAAAGCCUCUAAGCAUCAGGUAACAUCAAA
Molecule: ribosomal RNA, 941 nt
Filed under: Salmonella enterica subsp. enterica serovar Anatum
Lineage: Bacteria; Pseudomonadati; Pseudomonadota; Gammaproteobacteria; Enterobacterales; Enterobacteriaceae
Description: partial 23S ribosomal RNA
Rfam family: Bacterial large subunit ribosomal RNA
Source: RNAcentral